RNAcentral lists this ribosomal RNA (771 nucleotides) under uncultured Salinivibrio sp. RNAcentral's name for it is "bacterial SSU rRNA". It matches the Rfam family "Bacterial small subunit ribosomal RNA", at positions 584 to 1355 of the family's 1533-position model. The record is from RNAcentral. Lineage: Bacteria; Pseudomonadati; Pseudomonadota; Gammaproteobacteria; Vibrionales; Vibrionaceae.
UAAGUCAGAUGUGAAAGCCCGGGGCUCAACCUCGGAACCGCAUUUGAAACUGGCAGGCUAGAGUCUUGUAGAGGGGGGUAGAAUUUCAGGUGUAGCGGUGAAAUGCGUAGAGAUCUGAAGGAAUACCAGUGGCGAAGGCGGCCCCCUGGACAAAGACUGACGCUCAGAUGCGAAAGCGUGGGUAGCAAACAGGAUUAGAUACCCUGGUAGUCCACGCCGUAAACGCUGUCUACUUGGAGGUUGAGGUUUAGACUUUGGCUUUCGGCGCUAACGCAUUAAGUAGACCGCCUGGGGAGUACGGCCGCAAGGUUAAAACUCAAAUGAAUUGACGGGGGCCCGCACAAGCGGUGGAGCAUGUGGUUUAAUUCGAUGCAACGCGAAGAACCUUACCUACUCUUGACAUCCAGCGAAGCCUUUAGAGAUAGAGGCGUGCCUUCGGGAGCGCUGAGACAGGUGCUGCAUGGCUGUCGUCAGCUCGUGUUGUGAAAUGUUGGGUUAAGUCCCGCAACGAGCGCAACCCUUAUCCUUGUUUGCCAGCACGUAAUGGUGGGAACUCCAGGAAGACUGCCGGUGAUAAACCGGAGGAAGGUGGGGACGACGUCAAGUCAUCAUGGCCCUUACGAGUAGGGCUACACACGUGCUACAAUGGCAGAUACAGAGGGCAGCGAAGCUGCGAAGUGGAGCGAAUCCCUUAAAGUCUGUCGUAGUCCGGAUUGGAGUCCGCAACUCGACUCCAUGAAGUCGGAAUCGCUAGUAAUCGUGGAUCAGAAU